GGUGGCUCAUUGGUAGAGCGCUUGCCUUGCAUGCAUGAGGCUGUGGGUUCGAUUCCUCAGCACCA
This 65-nucleotide transfer RNA is filed under the name Dipodomys ordii (Ord's kangaroo rat). It matches the Rfam family "tRNA". From Rfam's summary of the family: Transfer RNA (tRNA) molecules are approximately 80 nucleotides in length. The record is from Rfam by way of RNAcentral. Lineage: Eukaryota; Metazoa; Chordata; Mammalia; Rodentia; Heteromyidae.